This 516-nucleotide unclassified non-coding RNA is filed under the name Hevea brasiliensis (rubber tree). Lineage: Eukaryota; Viridiplantae; Streptophyta; Magnoliopsida; Malpighiales; Euphorbiaceae. The record is from RNAcentral.
CAAAUAAUGGUAAGUAGCAUGACAGUUGACCCAGCCAACAAGCCCAUUCCGACAGAGACCUGGCUUUGAGCUGUUGCUGUACUCCCAGAAAGUCCAGAUACAAGAAUAAGCAUUGCAUCAGGAAGCGCGCCGAGCACAGGAAGAAACAAGCCACCAACGAUUCCAGGGCCCAAAAUCUCAAGCAAGAGCUCGCUACCAUUAGACAAAUAGGUAGCAGCAAAGAACAUUAGGUAUCCAUACACAAUUAUCAAAAACAAGUUACCAAGCGCAGUGGAGGUACAAGGCAUAAAGCCAUAGGUCUGCUCACAGGAAUACUCAUAAGAGAACGGAUCGAGGAGGAUGUAAGGCCGUGUCCGGAGGGAGUGGACACCAUCAGAAAUCAGAUUAGAGUGCUGAGACGAUGAGAGGGGCCGGGAAUGGACGGCGGAGACGGGGAAGAGGAUCGGAAGGAGGAGGAGGAGGAGUAGGUGGCGGUAAGGUUUGUGAGCAGGCAUGGUUAGUGAUGAGACGAGUGCA